UGAGAUCCAUUUGCAUCGAGGGGCAAUAUUUCCAUUCUCCAUUAUUGAAAAAGGUUUGAAGGGAUCAAAGCCAUACUGCAGUGGCAGUCUUUAUAUAAGUUCACACGGUCCGAUGAAAGUUUCUAAUAUUCUUCACAAAAUCAGAUGAUACCUAUGAUUUUAUACAACAGGCACCAGCAUUAUAAUGAAUAUAUGAAGAUCAUUAAUAAAGAAAGAUUUCUUCUUCAACUACUUAUCAGGAAAGGCUUGAAGAAUCAAGAUACAAUGGCAAUCUUCGUACAAAUUAACACAGCUCAA
Nylanderia fulva is the source of this 297-nucleotide non-coding RNA. Lineage: Eukaryota; Metazoa; Arthropoda; Insecta; Hymenoptera; Formicidae. The record is from RefSeq and is a predicted model, not a curated record.